RNAcentral lists this ribosomal RNA (466 nucleotides) under uncultured bacterium. RNAcentral describes it as "partial 16S ribosomal RNA". It matches the Rfam family "Bacterial small subunit ribosomal RNA", at positions 28 to 507 of the family's 1533-position model. The record is from RNAcentral.
GAUGAACGCUGGCGGCGUGCUUAACACAUGCAAGUCGAACGAUGAAGCCCAGCUUGCUGGGUGGAUUAGUGGCGAACGGGUGAGUAACACGUGAGUAACCUGCCCUUAACUCUGGGAUAAGCCUGGGAAACUGGGUCUAAUACCGGAUAGGAGCGUCCACCGCAUGGUGGGUGUUGGAAAGAUUUAUCGGUUUUGGAUGGACUCGCGGCCUAUCAGCUUGUUGGUGAGGUAAUGGCUCACCAAGGCGACGCCGGGUAGCCGGCCUGAGAGGGUGACCGGCCACACUGGGACUGAGACACGGCCCAGACUCCUACGGGAGGCAGCAGUGGGGAAUAUUGCACAAUGGGCGCAAGCCUGAUGCAGCGACGCCGCGUGAGGGAUGACGGCCUUCGGGUUGUAAACCUCUUUCAGUAGGGAAGAAGCGAAAGUGACGGUACCCGCAGAAGAAGCACCGGCUAACUACGUG